AAAAAGGUCUUUUUAUUCGGGUUAUAAUGUAGGGACAUUGGUUAAGGUAGGGAAAUAUAGGCUAAGUGACUCAAAUAGAUCAAGAACACCAACCUUAUAGCUUCACUAAUCAAGUAUGGAAUAAAUUCCAUCUUCCUCCCAACUAUGUCACCAUAAACAACACAACUCAAGGGAUUUAAUCAUCACCAUACAAAACUAAACACUCUUUUAUGCUCUCCAUUUAUUUCCAACAAACGAAGUCGACUUUCAAACAAAUAUCUCAAUAUACACUCGACUUUAUACUUUUUUUUCUCUUUCUUUUUCUUUUCUUUUGUUUUUCUUUUUUUCUUCUUUCUUUUUUUUUCUUUUCUUUUCCUACUAACUUUUCUUAGUAGUCUUAUAAGAGUCAAUAGUAUCAUAAUAUCAUCCCUUCUUUUUCAUGAACCACUAUGAUAUUCACCACACAAAGAUUCCCAUAUACUACAUCACCCCCUAUCAUCCAGCUAAAGAAUAAAAGCUAAUUAGGCUCAAAGUGGAUAACAAAGGAUAAUUUUUUUAAGGACAGUGUUUGGGAAAAUAAUGUGGCUAACAAAAGAUGGCCUAAAAUCAUCUCCUAAUCCUGGGCACAACAGCAACCUCGACACAGAAACCAUGGCAAGUUCUAGAAGAUCACUACAUAUGCAUGACAAAACUCACAACAAAGAAUAAACUGUGUAUGAUAAACAGUUAUGGCUCAAAUCCUCACAGGUUUAUUCAACGUCUAAAAUUCAAGGUCAAAAUCACUCUAGAAUUAUGCAAAUUAGUUCCAAUUAUGCUUAAAUCAUCAAAGAAAAUCAAAUUCAAUUUUUUUUUCACAGAAAUCAUCAUUGGCAUCUCACCAGAAAUCUAAUGGAGCAAUAAUCAUCUCAAAAACAAAACAAACACACACCACCAACCAAGCAGGAUAAAACAAUAAAGCCAACAAAAAGAUAAAAGUGAUACACAUAUCUAUUCUCACCCCCCUCCCCCAAACUUAUUACAGAACAUAAGUUCGAAAAUAAGUUUGGAGGGAUGAUGAUAUGUGUGUCACUACUCACAGAAAAAUAUGCUCCAUGGUGGUGGUAUGAAUAAAGCGCGAGUUCCCUCAUCUUCCAAGCUCAACACUGCACUAAAACCCCAAACAAAACAACAAAACAAAAAGAAACAAAACGAAAUUAAAAGAAAGAAAAACAAAACAAAAACGGUUGGGUUACCUCCCAACAAGUGCUUAAUUUAACGUCUAGAGCUCGACGAUACCUCAAAAACUCAUGGAGGUCGGAAACAGCACUCUAACCAUUGGAAAGCUUUUCUACUCUUGGGUGCCCUCUCCACCAAAACACUUCUCUUGGCUCGGAC
Molecule: long non-coding RNA, 1353 nt
Filed under: Salvia miltiorrhiza (redroot sage)
Lineage: Eukaryota; Viridiplantae; Streptophyta; Magnoliopsida; Lamiales; Lamiaceae
Description: long non-coding RNA (SMIL_LNC000157)
Source: RNAcentral